GGAUUAUCAGAUAUAUUUAAUGACUAUUGAAGAAAACAUAUAAAUAUUUGAACCACCAGAGGAUUGGUAUAACUUCCCUCUGUGAGUUUCAAGAAUAUUAUUAAAGAUGUAUUUUGCAUCAGCUGUCAUCCUGGCAUUUGCUACCUUUCUAGCAUUCGUCGAUUUUACGCUUGCAAAACCCGAACCUCAACCAAGCCAAGGUCCUCACUCUUAAAUAUCAAGGAACGGAAGGUGCUCUAGUGUUAUGAUCUUGUGAAAUAACAUUUUAUGAAAAUGAAA
This is a long non-coding RNA of Macrosteles quadrilineatus (aster leafhopper), 279 nucleotides long. RefSeq lists it as uncharacterized. The transcript has 3 exons. NCBI's taxonomy places the organism in Eukaryota, Metazoa, Arthropoda, Insecta, Hemiptera, Cicadellidae. The record is from RefSeq and is a predicted model, not a curated record.